This 497-nucleotide ribosomal RNA is filed under the name uncultured bacterium. RNAcentral's name for it is "partial 16S ribosomal RNA". It matches the Rfam family "Bacterial small subunit ribosomal RNA", at positions 28 to 507 of the family's 1533-position model. The record is from RNAcentral.
GAUGAACGCUGGCGGCGUGCCUAAUACAUGCAAGUCGAGCGAACAGACGAGGAGCUUGCUCCUCUGACGUUAGCGGCGGACGGGUGAGUAACACGUGGAUAACUUACCUAUAAGACUGGGAUAACUUCGGGAAACCGGAGCUAAUACCGGAUAAUAUAUUGAACCGCAUGGUUCAAUAGUGAAAGACGGUUUUGCUGUCGCUUAUAGAUGGAUCCGCGCCGCAUUAGCUAGUUGGUAAGGUAACGGCUUACCAAGGCAACGAUGCGUAGCCGACCUGAGAGGGUGAUCGGCCACACUGGAACUGAGACACGGUCCAGACUCCUACGGGAGGCAGCAGUAGGGAAUCUUCCGCAAUGGGCGAAAGCCUGACGGAGCAACGCCGCGUGAGUGAUGAAGGUCUUCGGAUCGUAAAACUCUGUUAUUAGGGAAGAACAAAUGUGUAAGUAACUAUGCACGUCUUGACGGUACCUAAUCAGAAAGCCACGGCUAACUACGCA